GGGAAUAAUAAUAGAAUUGACAUUUAUUA
RNAcentral lists this non-coding RNA (29 nucleotides) under Phytophthora drechsleri. The record is from RNAcentral. Lineage: Eukaryota; Oomycota; Peronosporomycetes; Peronosporales; Peronosporaceae. RNAcentral also lists the same sequence under 1 other name.